RNAcentral lists this ribosomal RNA (499 nucleotides) under uncultured bacterium. RNAcentral describes it as "partial 16S ribosomal RNA". It matches the Rfam family "Bacterial small subunit ribosomal RNA", at positions 28 to 507 of the family's 1533-position model. The record is from RNAcentral.
GACGAACGCUGGCGGCGUGCCUAAUACAUGCAAGUCGAGCGAAGUUUUUCUGGUGCUUGCACCGGAAAAACUUAGCGGCGAACGGGUGAGUAACACGUAAAGAACCUGCCUCAUAGACUGGGACCACUAUUGGAAAGGAUAGCUAAUACCGGAUAAUAGCAUUAACUGCAUGGUUGAUGUUUAAAAGUUGGUUUUGCUAACACUUUGAGAUGGCUUUGCGGUGCAUUAGCUAGUUGGUGGGGUAAAGGCCUACCAAGGCAACGAUGCAUAGCCGACCUGAGAGGGUGAUCGGCCACACUGGAACUGAGACACGGCCCAGACUCCUACGGGAGGCAGCAGUAGGGAAUCUUCCGCAAUGGGCGAAAGCCUGACGGAGCAACGCCGCGUGAGUGAAGAAGGAUUUCGGUUCGUAAAGCUCUGUUGUUAGGGAAGAAUGAUUGUGUAGUAACUAUACACAGUAGAGACGGUACCUAACCAGAAAGCCACGGCUAACUACGUG